AUUGAACGCUGGCGGCAUGCCUUACACAUGCAAGUCGAACGGCAGCGCGGGGCAACCUGGCGGCGAGUGGCGAACGGGUGAGUAAUAUAUCGGAACAUACCCUAGAGUGGGGGAUAACGUAGCGAAAGUUACGCUAAUACCGCAUACGCACUAAGGUGGAAAGUGGGGGAUUCGCAAGAACCUCAUGCUCAUGGAGUGGCCGAUAUCUGAUUAGCUAGUUGGUGAGGUAAAGGCUCACCAAGGCAACGAUCAGUAGCUGGUUUGAGAGGAUGAUCAGUCACACUGGAACUGAGACACGGUCCAGACUCCUACGGGAGGCAGCAGUGGGGAAUAUUGGACAAUGGGCGAAAGCCUGAUCCAGCAAUGCCGCGUGAGUGAUGAAGGCCUUAGGGUUGUAAAGCUCUUUUACCCGGGAUGAUAAUGACAGUACCGGGAGAAUAAGCCCCGGCUAACUCCGUGCCAGCAGCCG
RNAcentral lists this ribosomal RNA (469 nucleotides) under uncultured bacterium. Its description in RNAcentral is "bacterial SSU rRNA". It matches the Rfam family "Bacterial small subunit ribosomal RNA", at positions 30 to 517 of the family's 1533-position model. The record is from RNAcentral.